Molecule: transfer RNA, 78 nt
Filed under: Paenibacillus sp. cl130
Lineage: Bacteria; Bacillati; Bacillota; Bacilli; Caryophanales; Paenibacillaceae
Description: tRNA_Gln_TTG
Rfam family: tRNA (bases 10-67)
About the family: Transfer RNA (tRNA) molecules are approximately 80 nucleotides in length. Their secondary structure includes four short double-helical elements and three loops (D, anti-codon, and T loops).
Source: RNAcentral
UGGCGGUCGUGGCGAAGUGGUUAACGCAACGGACUUUGACUCCGUCAUGCAUAGGUUCAAAUCCUAUAUCCCCAGCCA